Molecule: ribosomal RNA, 1407 nt
Filed under: Triticum aestivum (bread wheat)
Lineage: Eukaryota; Viridiplantae; Streptophyta; Magnoliopsida; Poales; Poaceae
Description: partial small subunit ribosomal RNA
Source: RNAcentral
AUGGUGGAGGGCCAUGAAGAUGAUAGGCUCAGCAAGUUGCCUGAUGACCUUUUGCUCAACAUUGUCGAGCGACUUGAUAUUGCUGACGCCGCACGAACCACCAUCCUCUCCAGACGUUGGAAGGACGUCCUUGCUAGACUCUCAAAAGUCGUAAUAAGGGCAGGUUCUUUUGAGUCCAAGCAUACAACGAGCAAGAAAGAUGAUAUAGUUCGGUCCAACACCACCAUUCUGGAUGCAACCCGGAGCAUACUGGAAAGGAGGGCUGGAAGUCUAUACACCAUUCAGCUGUUGUGCAUGCAAUUCUACUUGGGAGAUGAGUCCAUUUUCAUUGGCCAGACUGUUGCCAACAGCAUAGCAACACAAAAGGUUGCUUCAGUUGACUUUACAAUCUUGACGAAGGUGCGUAGAAAUUGUACCAAGGAUGAGCUGCUCACAAAUGGGAGGCAGUUCAUGUCAUUCUUUGAUUCAUGUCCAAACACAUUUGGUUGUCUUGCACGCCUCACGCUAGAGAAUUUGAGGUUAGGAGAAUCGGCGUUCCCCAAAUUUUUUAGUAUAUGCAAGCAACUGGAGUUCCUCUUCCUCCACAAUUGUGACAUGGGUAUUCAGUCUUUGCUGGAAGUGGAACACCCUCAGCUCAGUGAACUAGUGAUUGCCAGCGGCUGCUUUAAGAGGGUUCAUCUGAAGUGGGCACCAAAGCUCACAAUACUGAAAUUUAGUAUUUUUAGAUCAAAAGAUGAUCCCUUCUGUCUUGGCUAUGUCCCACUGCUCCAGACUGUGAGCAUCAUUAAUACUGCUCUCUCUUGGCACAAGAUGCUCAAGUUAAGUGAGUUGCUUGGUAAGACUGCCAUAAGCAACCUGCAUUUGAACUUCAGAAGCGAAAAGAUUUGGGUCAAACCGGAAGGUCGAAGGCAAUUGUUACCUGUGUUCCACAAACUUAGGAUUGUGAAUUUGCUUAACAUUCCUGAAGAAUGCGAUCUGACUUGGACAAUGUUCCUACUCCAAGGUGCACCCAACCUUAAGGAACUACGCAUCGUGGUGCGGGAUCAUUUAUGUUUAAUGGUAACAGGGGAGGAGAGGAAGAAUGGUGCAUUUAGUGAGGAGAAGGACAAGGGACUGGAGUUGGAACCAUCUGCAUCUGAUUUCAAGCACCACAACCUCGCUGGGCUCAGUAUCUAUGGGAGGUUUCAAGCAGAAGACAAACUCGUGAGCUAUGCCAGGAGCAUCAUGCAAGCAGCAGUGAAUCUGGAGGACAUAAAGCUAUACAAGAGUCCAGUGUGUCAAAGGUGCAAGCACAUGCGCCAGGAGUGGACAUUGGAGGAGAAGUCAUCGCUUAGCUACAAAAUAAAAGAGGGGAUGCCCUCGCUUGUCCGGAUUCACUUCCCGAGUUUAGGGGAAGUCUAUUUUUAG